This 253-nucleotide ribosomal RNA is filed under the name uncultured bacterium. RNAcentral's name for it is "partial 16S ribosomal RNA". It matches the Rfam family "Bacterial small subunit ribosomal RNA", at positions 524 to 776 of the family's 1533-position model. The record is from RNAcentral.
UACGGGGGGGGCAAGCGUUGUUCGGAAUUACUGGGCGUAAAGGGCUCGUAGGCGGCCAACUAAGUCGGAUGUGAAAUCCCCAGGCUCAACUUGGGAACUGCAUCCGAUACUGGAUGGCUUGAAUUCGGGAGAGGGAUGCAGAAUUCCAGGUGUAGCGGUGAAAUGCGUAGAUAUCUGGAGGAAUACCGGUGGCGAAGGCGGCAUCCUGGACCGACAUUGACGCUGAGGUGCGAAAGCGUGGGGAGCAAACAGG